GUAAGAGAAAAAGAAAAGCAAAAAUCGAAGAGAUACCAGUUGUGAUAGUCCGGAACCGCUCCUGUCCUGCAGUAUCCCAGAUUUGCAGCUUAAUUCUCUUCCCAUCCAGCUCAAUAGUCCGUAUCUUGAAAUCAAUUCUGUCACAACAAAAUUUUAUAUUGAGUGAGAAGGGAACAAGACAAUGAUAUGCCCUGGAGGGAAAGCCGACUGAUGACAAUAGAAUUCAAAUCAAGGAGAGUUAUCAAUUGGUUUGAUCAACUUGGGAGGAUAGCUAUUAGCUCGUGAGAGAUUGUUGGUGGUGAUUUACAGUAAUACGUGGAUCUUAACAGACAAGUACACAAAGCACUUGAGAGAAAAGCAUCAUGUAAUAAAGAGAUCAUGCUUACCCAAUUGUUGUAAUGAAACUGGUGGUAAAGGAGCCAUCUGAAAAACGCAAGAGGAGGCAACUCUUACCCACACCUGGUGUACAUGAAAGAAGAUAGAGGAAGAAGUUAGAUCAAGCAAAAGACCUUUGAAUGUGGUUACACACGUACAAAGUUUAAUACUAUCAUAAACCAUUUGUCACCCAAAACAUCCACCCC
Long non-coding RNA from Brassica rapa (field mustard), 581 nucleotides. RefSeq lists it as uncharacterized. Lineage: Eukaryota; Viridiplantae; Streptophyta; Magnoliopsida; Brassicales; Brassicaceae. The record is from RefSeq and is a predicted model, not a curated record.